AAGGUUCGCCACCCCGGCUCUAGGCUGAUCCUGCAUUGAGCAGGCAGUCGGACUAGAUGGCCUCUAUGGCCCCUUCCAACUCUGUGAUUCUAAAUUACAGUCAGAAGGCUACUGGCUGGAUACUGUGUGGGGUGUGUGUGUGUGUGUAGGAUUUGCAAUAAGAAUAGUUCACCAGUGGACCAGGCUCCCCUCCCUGGCAGUCUUCAAGUAGCAGCUGGAGAAACACUUGUCAGGGAUACUCUAAGCUAAUCCUGCAUUGACCAGGGGGCUGGACUAGAUGGCCUCUAGGGUCCCCUUCCAACUUGAUGAUUCUCUUAUUCUAAAAACACAGAAAAAUAAACAGUAUAAAUGUAGGAAUAUGUAAUAUGUCAAAAAGGAGCUAACACAGAUGACAAACUGUAGGUUGCCAGCCAAAUUCUAUUUCAUAUAGAUCUUCAUUAGGUCAUUUCUGUGUUACUCUGUCUAUUUGAUACGUGGCUUUGCAUCUCACACGGCAGGGAUAUGUGACCUUUUCUUCUGGAUCUUUGUUUUGAAAUAUGUUUCAGAGGGUAACUGUGUUGGUCUGCAGUAGAUGAGCUGGAUUCGAGUCCAGCAGCACCUUAAAGACACACCAGGUUUCUGGGGUAUGAGCUUCCUGGUGUCAGCGCUCCCCUAAUUGUUUUGAAUUGCUAAACGCUGUUUUAAAACUAAAUGAACAAGAUAGCCCAGAAAUGAUUGACAAAGAUCUACUCAAGAUAAAAUUUGGCUAACAAACCCAUAGUUUGUCACCUGUGUUAGCUCCUUUUGGACACAUGUUGUUUGGUAUUUGUACUGUUGGGGGUUUUGUGUUAUGAUAAAGUACAUUAAAGCACCCCAGUUGGAUUCCGACUGUGAAAUAGUUUCGACAAUGUAAAUGGAAUGUUUGCAAUUAUACACUUGUCAUAUGGGUUCUCGUGAUGUUUUCUGUUUGCAAUACCGCCCUCUUUUUUGACCUAUGCUCUUGUCCUUGUAUACUUCAUUUUUGCAUUUCUUGAGGGUUCCCCUCUUCUUUUUCUCCAUUGAGCCUCCAGGAUGGCCAGGUUCACAGUGCGGGAAGUGGGUGGGUGGGCUCACCCCCGCCCUCUCAGGUCAAAGGGACAGAGACUUAGCUCCCCGUUAAGAAGGAAUCUCCCUCCUACUCUCAACUACCCUACAGCCAGCAUACCAGUAACCACGCUGGCUCACUAGGAGUGUUGUGUGGCUGCAAAGUGCUUUUUCUCCAAUGCCCUCCUCCCCCCCCCCCCCCCAGCAAAGUGCAAAAUGUGAGUUGUAAUUUUGCUGAAAUAAAGAGUUUCUCUGCAGUGAAA
Long non-coding RNA from Sphaerodactylus townsendi, 1325 nucleotides. RefSeq lists it as uncharacterized. NCBI's taxonomy places the organism in Eukaryota, Metazoa, Chordata, Lepidosauria, Squamata, Sphaerodactylidae. The transcript is spliced from 2 exons. The record is from RefSeq and is a predicted model, not a curated record.